RNAcentral lists this ribosomal RNA (484 nucleotides) under uncultured bacterium. RNAcentral's name for it is "bacterial SSU rRNA". It matches the Rfam family "Bacterial small subunit ribosomal RNA", at positions 29 to 507 of the family's 1533-position model. The record is from RNAcentral.
AUUGAACGCUGGCGGCAUGCUUUACACAUGCAAGUCGAACGGUAACAGGGAGCUUGCUCCGCUGACGAGUGGCGAACGGGUGAGUAAUGCAUCGGAACGUACCCAGUCGUGGGGGAUAACGUAGCGAAAGUUACGCUAAUACCGCAUACGUCCUGAGGGAGAAAGCGGGGGACCGUAAGGCCUCGCGCGAUUGGAGCGGCCGAUGUCGGAUUAGCUAGUUGGUAGGGUAAAGGCCUACCAAGGCGACGAUCCGUAGCGGGUCUGAGAGGAUGAUCCGCCACACUGGGACUGAGACACGGCCCAGACUCCUACGGGAGGCAGCAGUGGGGAAUUUUGGACAAUGGGCGAAAGCCUGAUCCAGCCAUGCCGCGUGAGUGAAGAAGGCCUUCGGGUUGUAAAGCUCUUUCAGCCGGAAAGAAAUCGCGCAGGAUAACACUCUGCGUGGAUGACGGUACCGGAAGAAGAAGCACCGGCUAACUACGUG